UACGUAGGGGGCUAGCGUUGUCCGGAAUCAUUGGGCGUAAAGCGCGUGUAGGCGGCCCGAUAAGUCCGCUGUGAAAGUCGGGGGCUCAACCCUCGAAAGCCGGUGGAUACUGUCAGGCUAGAGUACGGAAGAGGCGAGUGGAAUUCCUGGUGUAGCGGUGAAAUGCGCAGAUAUCAGGAGGAACACCCAUUGCGAAGGCAGCUCGCUGGGACGUUACUGACGCUGAGACGCGAAAGCGUGGGGAGCGAACAGG
This 253-nucleotide ribosomal RNA is filed under the name uncultured bacterium. RNAcentral's name for it is "partial 16S ribosomal RNA". It matches the Rfam family "Bacterial small subunit ribosomal RNA", at positions 524 to 776 of the family's 1533-position model. The record is from RNAcentral.